UACGAAGGGGGCUAGCGUUGCUCGGAAUCACUGGGCGUAAAGCGCACGUAGGCGGGUCGUGAAGUCAGGGGUGAAAUCCUGGAGCUCAACUCCAGAACUGCCCUUGAUACUGGCGAUCUCGAGUUCGGGAGAGGUGAGUGGAACUGCGAGUGUAGAGGUGAAAUUCGUAGAUAUUCGCAAGAACACCAGUGGCGAAGGCGGCUCACUGGCCCGAUACUGACGCUGAGGUGCGAAAGCGUGGGGAGCAAACGGG
This 253-nucleotide ribosomal RNA is filed under the name uncultured bacterium. RNAcentral's name for it is "partial 16S ribosomal RNA". It matches the Rfam family "Bacterial small subunit ribosomal RNA", at positions 524 to 776 of the family's 1533-position model. The record is from RNAcentral.